RNAcentral lists this long non-coding RNA (220 nucleotides) under Lathyrus oleraceus (garden pea). Its description in RNAcentral is "Pisum sativum (pea) long non-coding RNA (PSAT_LNC035903)". The record is from RNAcentral. Lineage: Eukaryota; Viridiplantae; Streptophyta; Magnoliopsida; Fabales; Fabaceae.
ACAUAACAGGCAUCAAGAGGACUGCCACAAAAUACAAAAACAAAAACCAAACAAGACAACAACCUUCCAAACAGCAGCCCAGCUUCCACCACACCUCUCAGUCUUCAAUUCAGGCAGGAACCAUUAAUCAAAAGAGGAAGUAUCACCUUCACCUUCAUCUUCAUCUUCUGAACACUCAGAGCUUCCAGAGCAGCCACUGGAUUGUGCUUUUCCAUCUGAG